GGCUCUGUGGUGCAAAGGUUAGUGCAUUGGACUUGUGAAGGGAUUCAAAGUUUCUGGGUUUAAGUCCUAGUAGAGUCA
RNAcentral lists this transfer RNA (78 nucleotides) under Alligator mississippiensis (American alligator). It matches the Rfam family "tRNA". From Rfam's summary of the family: Transfer RNA (tRNA) molecules are approximately 80 nucleotides in length. Lineage: Eukaryota; Metazoa; Chordata; Crocodylia; Alligatoridae. The record is from Rfam by way of RNAcentral.